Molecule: non-coding RNA, 231 nt
Organism: Hydra vulgaris (swiftwater hydra)
Lineage: Eukaryota; Metazoa; Cnidaria; Hydrozoa; Anthoathecata; Hydridae
Source: RefSeq, a predicted model, not a curated record
CUUCCUUGAAUCGGAUAGAGAAGAUUAUUAAAAACAACAACUUAUCAACUAACAAUCUUAAUACAACUAAUGUCUAAAAGAGUAUGUUUGUUAUACUCAAUGUAUGGAAACAAAGGUCAUAUUAGUGCGGGAAAUACAUUGUAUUCGUUCAAUUUGAAAUCGCUACUGACAAAAGUAUUAAAGAAAGAAUUGGCAGCUUUCUCGCCACGGCCAUUGAUAGAGAUGACGGAA